GGUGGGGAUCUAAAAUUGCGAUUAUCUCAAAGAGAGAUGUACUGGAUUAGAAAGCUUAACACUGUGAACCCUAAAGGGUUAAAUGAAUCUUGGAGUGUAAAAAGCUUCUUGUGAAACGAUGCUAACACUAUUUUUAUGCCUCCUCUCUUCCAGAUAUUGACCCCUUAGCCACACAUUCAGAAUGUUUCAGAAUCCAGUUAUGCACAUUGGUGAUAGUUGAAGGUUGUCUACGAAUAAAAAUUGAA
Long non-coding RNA from Xenopus laevis (African clawed frog), 245 nucleotides. RefSeq lists it as uncharacterized. The transcript is spliced from 2 exons. Lineage: Eukaryota; Metazoa; Chordata; Amphibia; Anura; Pipidae. The record is from RefSeq and is a predicted model, not a curated record.